RNAcentral lists this ribosomal RNA (506 nucleotides) under uncultured bacterium. RNAcentral's name for it is "partial 16S ribosomal RNA". It matches the Rfam family "Bacterial small subunit ribosomal RNA", at positions 29 to 523 of the family's 1533-position model. The record is from RNAcentral.
AGUGAACGCUGGCGGUAGGCCUAACACAUGCAAGUCGAACGGCAGCACAGGAGAGCUUGCUCUCUGGGUGGCGAGUGGCGGACGGGUGAGGAAUACAUCGGAAUCUACCUUUUCGUGGGGGAUAACGUAGGGAAACUUACGCUAAUACCGCAUACGACCUUCGGGUGAAAGCAGGGGACCUUCGGGCCUUGCGCGGAUAGAUGAGCCGAUGUCGGAUUAGCUAGUUGGCGGGGUAAAGGCCCACCAAGGCGACGAUCCGUAGCUGGUCUGAGAGGACGAUCAGCCACACUGGAACUGAGACACGGUCCAGACUCCCACGGGAGGCAGCAGUGGGGAAUAUUGGAAAAUGGGCGCAAGCCUGAUCCAGCCAUACCGCGUGGGUGAAGAAGGCCUUCGGGUUGUAAAGCCCUUUUGUUGGGAAAGAAAAGCAGCCAGUUAAUACCUGGUUGUUCUGACGGUACCCAAAGAAUAAGCACCGGCUAACUUCGUGCCAGCCGCCGCCGUAA